RNAcentral lists this ribosomal RNA (469 nucleotides) under uncultured bacterium. RNAcentral describes it as "partial 16S ribosomal RNA". It matches the Rfam family "Bacterial small subunit ribosomal RNA", at positions 28 to 507 of the family's 1533-position model. The record is from RNAcentral.
GAUGAACGCUGGCGGCGUGCUUAACACAUGCAAGUCGAACGGUGAACACGGAGCUUUCUCUGUGGGAUCAGUGGCGAACGGGUGAGUAACACGUGAGCAACCUGCCCCUGACUCUGGGAUAAGCGCUGGAAACGGCGUCUAAUACUGGAUAUGUGACGUGACCGCAUGGUCUGCGUUUGGAAAGAUUUUUCGGUUGGGGAUGGGCUCGCGGCCUAUCAGCUUGUUGGUGAGGUAAUGGCUCACCAAGGCUUCGACGGGUAGCCGGCCUGAGAGGGUGACCGGCCACACUGGGACUGAGACACGGCCCAGACUCCUACGGGAGGCAGCAGUGGGGAAUAUUGCACAAUGGGCGGAAGCCUGAUGCAGCAACGCCGCGUGAGGGAUGACGGCCUUCGGGUUGUAAACCUCUUUUAGCUGGGAAGAAGCGAAAGUGACGGUACCUGGAGAAAAAGCGCCGGCUAACUACGUG